This 465-nucleotide ribosomal RNA is filed under the name uncultured bacterium. Its description in RNAcentral is "partial 16S ribosomal RNA". It matches the Rfam family "Bacterial small subunit ribosomal RNA", at positions 28 to 507 of the family's 1533-position model. The record is from RNAcentral.
GACGAACGCUGGCGGCGUGCUUAACACAUGCAAGUCGAACGGAAAGGCCCUGCUUGCAGGGUACUCGAGUGGCGAACGGGUGAGUAACACGUGGGUGAUCUGCCCUGCACUUCGGGAUAAGCCUGGGAAACUGGGUCUAAUACCGGAUAGGAGCCAUUUUUAGUGUGAUGGUUGGAAAGUUUUUUCGGUGUAGGAUGAGCUCGCGGCCUAUCAGCUUGUUGGUGGGGUAAUGGCCUACCAAGGCGGCGACGGGUAGCCGGCCUGAGAGGGUGGACGGCCACAUUGGGACUGAGAUAAGGCCCAGACUCCUACGGGAGGCAGAAGUGGGGAAUAUUGCACAAUGGGCGCAAGCCUGAUGCAGCGACGCCGCGUGGGGGAUGACGGCCUUAGGGUUGAAAACUCCUUUCGCUAGGGACGAAGCUUUUUGUGACGGUACCUAGAUAAGAAGCACCGGCUAACUACGUG